Molecule: long non-coding RNA, 2507 nt
Organism: Coregonus clupeaformis (lake whitefish)
Lineage: Eukaryota; Metazoa; Chordata; Actinopteri; Salmoniformes; Salmonidae
Exons: 4
Source: RefSeq, a predicted model, not a curated record
GAUGUUACCGCAUUGUCACAAAGGGGUGGGCUUUGGCAAUGGUAUAUGAUUUCGGACACACGAGAUCCAGACCAUAACCAGUCGUAUAGUCAGGUUGGAAGACGAGGAGAACUCUGCCUUUUACAAGGGGGAAGACGGGGCUGUCUGUGUGGGGAAAUAUUGCUACUACGAUAGCUGUGAAGAAACAGGAGGACCCGGUUGAUUUUAAACAGAUGGAUGGUCCCACGCGACGUCACUAUCAACCGUCGGCACGAAGCUCGAGAACCUGCAGCUGUUAUUCUGAAGGUGCUCAUUUCGUUUACAUUGCUCUGCCCAUACAGACAAGUCGGCAGUUGUGAGAGGCGCUUGACAACCCCACUAGAUCCACCCUUGUCUUCUGAGGCACUUCCUCCCACAAUAUAAGAGGAAGUAGAAUACGACGUUGCACAGGUGUGUGUAUCCAGCCUAGCUGCUACUAUUCUUCGCUGAGUGGGUCUGGGUGGGCCCGAGGGGUUGGCUGUUAUCUUUGGUUAUCUAGCUGUAUGAGUGGUGUACAUUCUUCAUAAAGCUAGAUAACCGAAAGUAACAAGAAUCCCAUUGCGCUCCCGCAAGGCCCAUUUCUUGUGCCAACAAACAAAACAAAAUGGCCGACGCCCGAGAGGAAGUGACUCAGGCGUUUGUGCCCAGCCAACCAAUCAGAAGACUUAAAGGUGACCCAUCACAUUGAAGUUAUGAUGUCAAAGCCAGUCAUCUGGUUCCGUCUCACUUUGAAGUCCACCACCUGCCGACGGCCACCCCACCUCACUAAUGGUGACGUCCAUUUCCGAACGUAAUGGUGCCCACCUGACCUAAAUGGAACCGGAUUGGCUCCUCUUCUAUUUUUCCGGCCCCAAUGUUUAAACCUGAAGCACUUUGAGGACAUUGAAGGAUCUCCUUUUAGUUUGGGUGAACUUUGGCCACAUGCCUGGACUGAACAUGGGGUAAUGUACUUUUGGGUCAUGGAUACCAAUGGAUACUCAACCACAGUUGCAUCUGUGGGCCUAACCCCCAGACUGUCUUCUGAACUUCUGGAUAUACCAAUCAAAGUAAAAGUUGAAAUGGACUACUGUGAACUGGUGUCUCUCUGUCCUCCCACAACUAACUGACUGGAUACAUGGACAGAAAUGGACAGAUCUGCGCUAAACAGCCGGAUGUGAACCAUGAUAGUUGAGAAGAACAUAGCCUAUACACAUAUUGAAGUAUACUGGACUGCCGUAUUGAACGCCGAUGAGUCCGAAUGGUAGACAUACAGACCUUGAAGUGGAGUUGUUGUUCUGGAGCCGGAGUAUGCCAUUCGACACAGAGGGCAUAGACCACUAGCCCCUUGUUUAUGGACGAGUACUGCAUGAGGGUUUUUGUGAAGAGUGUGAGAGGUGUGUGUUCUGUUCUCGGAUUGUAAGCAACACACACACACCACAAAUCAUAGUAAAGGUCUUGUAAACUGCUUAUGGUUAAUGGACAUUGGAUUUAUCAUGUGCUUAUGCUACCUGGGAAAAAAUUUAUUUGACACUGGAGGAGGCUAUAUGGUUUAGUGGUAGAAUCCCACUGCACCACUGAUUUUAUUAUCAAGGGGAGGUUACAAAUUGUCAAACAAGUAUCUGAUAUUGGACACACCACAUAGUAUUCAGAUAAUGUGUGUAUAGAUAGAACACAUACAAUUAAUAAAAAUUAAAACAUAGACAUGUGCUAAUUGAGUGAUUUAAACAAUUGUGGUAUACAAAUCAGAGUAGGACGAUGACUUAUAUUUGGUAUUAGGUUUAUAUAAUGGCUAUGAAUACUAGUUUAGUUAGAAUUUCUCUAUUAUUCUGAAAAUGUGUAAAUGUGCUAAUUUUGUGUGUAUCUUAUUUAUAUGCAUCUUUUUAAAUCUAUGCAAAUUAAUCAACAAACUAUUUUAUCAUUUGCUUAUGAGGAUCAUUCAAAUUCUCAGAGGGUUUAGAUUUUUUCCCAGAAAAUCUGUUAAAUACUGUAGGGUGAUGUGAGAGAUUAGAAAUUAAAGUGCAACAUAGAAAGGUUUCUGCACUCUGGUCCAGACUAAAAUAUGUUGGGAUUUUACACCGUUUUUCUCAACUGAUUUGAUACAUUUUUAAACAAAUGUAUCAAUAUCAAAAUAUAAACAUUGAAAUGUAUAAUUUACUUAACUGUGCUGGGACAUCUAUAAAUCUUCAGAUUGGAUCUAAUGGAUUGACUACAAAGUUGCAUAUACAUUUUUCCAUACAACUCCAAUUAUUUCUGGAUUUCAUGUGAACAUUUUUACUCUAUGCAACUUUUACUCUAUGCAACUUUUACAUUUUGUAACUUUUUGCAGCUUUUUGUAAUCAAUAAUGUGACUAUCAUUGGGAGCAACUGCAAUUCAUAUGUUGAUUUAUGUCAUUUUGAGGAUUAACUUCCACAAUGUUGAAAAUGUUUCAUAUGUUUGCAAUGGCUGUAUGAUAAAUAUGUUUGAUAGUGUGAUGUACUGUAUGGUUUAACAACAAUGUGUACUCUACAUG